GACGAACGCUGGCGGCGUGCUUAACACAUGCAAGUCGAACGGAAAGGCCCUGCUUGCAGGGUACUCGAGUGGCGAACGGGUGAGUAACACGUGGGUGAUCUGCCCUGCACUUCGGGAUAAGCCUGGGAAACUGGGUCUAAUACCGGAUAGGAGCCAUUUUUAGUGUGGUGGUUGGAAAGUUUUUUCGGUGUAGGAUGAGCUCGCGGCCUAUCAGCUUGUUGGUGGGGUAAUGGCCUACCAAGGCGGCGACGGGUAGCCGGCCUGAGAGGGUGGACGGCCACAUUGGGACUGAGAUACGGCCCAGACUCCUACGGGAGGCAGCAGUGGGGAAUAUUGCACAAUGGGCGCAAGCCUGAUGCAGCGACGCCGCGUGGGGGAUGACGGCCUUCGGGUUGUAAACUCCUUUCGCUAGGGACGAAGCUUUUUGUGACGGUACCUAGAUAAGAAGCACCGGCUAACUACGUG
This 465-nucleotide ribosomal RNA is filed under the name uncultured bacterium. Its description in RNAcentral is "partial 16S ribosomal RNA". It matches the Rfam family "Bacterial small subunit ribosomal RNA", at positions 28 to 507 of the family's 1533-position model. The record is from RNAcentral.